RNAcentral lists this long non-coding RNA (270 nucleotides) under Citrus sinensis (sweet orange). RNAcentral describes it as "long non-coding RNA (CSIN_LNC004025)". The record is from RNAcentral. Lineage: Eukaryota; Viridiplantae; Streptophyta; Magnoliopsida; Sapindales; Rutaceae.
UGGACAAAAAUGUAAUCGCACAACAAUAUUAACAGUCUUCGGAUUUUAUUACAACAUCAAAACAAAGCCACAAGAAGACAUCCCACAUAAAUUCGAAAACUCAGCACUGAACAGAUAAACAGAAGAUGAUACACAUCGUCAUACGUAGCAACAAUCUUGUCCUUGAAUUAGUUAAAGUGAGACAUCUAAAAUCGAAGGAAAAGAAGGGAGAAAAGGAAAAUAUCACUAAGUUCUCUUGGCAAGGAGAUUCUAGGCUACUACAUCCACUAG